RNAcentral lists this ribosomal RNA (445 nucleotides) under uncultured Gammaproteobacteria bacterium. RNAcentral describes it as "bacterial SSU rRNA". It matches the Rfam family "Bacterial small subunit ribosomal RNA", at positions 1090 to 1533 of the family's 1533-position model. Lineage: Bacteria; Pseudomonadati; Pseudomonadota; Gammaproteobacteria. The record is from RNAcentral.
GCACGAGCGCACCCUUGCCCUAUGUUGCCAGCGGGUUAUGCCGGGGCACUCAUGGGGAACUGCCGGUGAUAAACCGGAGGAAGGUGGGGACGACGCUCAAGUCAUCAUGGCCCUUACGCCCAGGGCUACACACGUGCUACAAUGGCCGGUACAAAGGGCUGCCAACCCGCGAGGGUGAGCGAAUCCCAAAAAGCCGGUCUAAGUUCGGAUUGUAGUCUGCAACUCGACUGCAUGAAGUCGGAAUCGCUAGUAAUCGUGUAUCAACAACGACACGGUGAAUACGUUCCCGGGCCUUGUACACACCGCCCGUCAAGCCAUGGAAGCCGGGAGUGCCCGUAGUCUGUGACCCAACCUAGUGAGGGAGCAGCCGAAGGUAAGUUCGGUGACUGGGGCUAAGUCGUAACAAGGUAGCCGUAGGGGAACCUGCGGCUGGAUCACCUCCUUU